This 433-nucleotide ribosomal RNA is filed under the name uncultured bacterium. RNAcentral describes it as "partial 16S ribosomal RNA". It matches the Rfam family "Bacterial small subunit ribosomal RNA", at positions 29 to 507 of the family's 1533-position model. The record is from RNAcentral.
AACGAACGCUGGCGGCAUGCCUAACACAUGCAAGUCGAACGAGACCUUCGGGUCUAGUGGCGCACGGGUGCGUAACGCGUGGGAACCUGCCCUUAGGUUCGGAAUAACUCCCCGUAAGGUGUGCUAAUACCGGUUAAUGUCUUCGGACCAAAGAUUUAUCGCCUUUGGAUGGGCCCGCGUUGGAUUAGCUAGUUGGUAGGGUAAAAGCCUACCAAGGCGACGAUCCAUAGCUGGUCUGAGAGGAUGAUCAGCCACACUGGGAAUGAGACACGGCCUAGACUGCUACGCGAGGGAGCAGUGGGGAAUAUUGGACAAUGAGCGAAAGCGUGAUCCAGCAAUGCCGCGUGAGUGAUGAAGGCCUUAGGGUUGUAAAGCUCUUUUACACGGGAUGAUAAUGACAGUAACGGGAGAAUAAGCACCGGCUAACUCCGUG